CCUCAGAAUCAACGCUGGCGGCGUGCCUAACACAUGCAAGUCGCACGAGAAAGGGUAGCAAUACCUGAGUAAAGUGGCGCACGGGUGAGUAACACGUGAAUAAUCUACCUCCGAGUGGGGAAUAACUGAGAGAAAUCUUAGCUAAUACCGCAUAACACUUACGAGUCAAAGCAGCAAUGCGCUUGGAGAGGAGUUCGCGGCAGAUUAGUUAGUUGGCGGGGUAAUGGCCCACCAAGACGAUGAUCUGUAUCCGGCCUGAGAGGGCGCACGGACACACUGGAACUGAAACACGGUCCAGACUCCUACGGGAGGCAGCAGUGGGGAAUUUUGCGCAAUGGGGGAAACCCUGACGCAGCAACGCCGCGUGGAGGAUGAAAUCCCUUGGGAUGUAAACUCCUUUCGAUAGGGAAGAUAAUGACGGUACCUAUAGAAGAAGCCCCGGCUAAUUUCGUGCCAGCAGCCGCGGUAAUACGAGGGGGGCAAGCGUUGUUCGGAUUUAUUGGGCGUAAAGGGUGCGUAGGCGGUUUGGCAAGUCUUGUGUGAAAUCUUUGGGCUCAACCCAAAGUCUGCACAAGAAACUGCCGGGCUUGAGUAUGGGAGAGGUGAGUGGAAUUUCCGGUGUAGCGGUGAAAUGCGUAGAUAUCGGAAGGAACACCUGUGGCAAAAGCGGCUCACUGGACCAUUACUGACGCUGAGGCACGAAAGCUAGGGGAGCAAACAGGAUUAGAUACCCUGGUAGUCCUAGCCCUAAACGAUGAUUGUUUGAUGUGGCAGGUACCCAAUCCUGCCGUGUCGAAGCUAACGCGAUAAACAAUCCGCCUGGGGAGUACGGUCGCAAGGCUGAAACUCAAAGGAAUUGACGGGGGCCCGCACAAGCGGUGGAGCAUGUGGUUUAAUUCGACGCAACGCGAAGAACCUUACCUGGGCUCGAAAUGUAGUGGAAUCCGGCAGAAACGUCGGCGUCUAGCAAUAGACCGCUAUAUAGGUGCUGCAUGGCUGUCGUCAGCUCGUGUCGUGAGAUGUUGGGUUAAGUCCCGCAACGAGCGCAACCCUUAUCUACAGUUGCUACCAUUUAGUUGAGCACUCUGUCGAAACCGCCUCGGAUAACGGGGAGGAAGGUGGGGAUGACGUCAAGUCCUCAUGGCCUUUAUGUCCAGGGCUACACACGUGCUACAAUGGCCGGUACAAACCGCUGCAACCCCGCGAGGGUGAGCUAAUCGGAAAAAGCCGGCCUCAGUUCGGAUUGGAGUCUGCAACUCGACUCCAUGAAGCUGGAAUCGCUAGUAAUCGUGGAUCAGCAUGCCACGGUGAAUACGUUCCCGGGCCCA
This 1328-nucleotide ribosomal RNA is filed under the name metagenome. Its description in RNAcentral is "bacterial SSU rRNA". It matches the Rfam family "Bacterial small subunit ribosomal RNA", at positions 22 to 1382 of the family's 1533-position model. The record is from RNAcentral.